AGUGAACGCUGGCGGUAGGCCUAACACAUGCAAGUCGAACGGCAGCACAGUAAGAGCUUGCUCUUACGGGUGGCGAGUGGCGGACGGGUGAGGAAUACAUCGGAAUCUACUUUUUCGUGGGGGAUAACGUAGGGAAACUUACGCUACUACCGCAUACGACCUACGGGUGAAAGCAGGGGAUCUUCGGACCUUGCGCGAUUGAAUGAGCCGAUGUCGGAUUAGCUAGUUGGCGGGGUAAAGGCCCACCAAGGCGACGAUCCGUAGCUGGUCUGAGAGGAUGAUCAGCCACACUGGAACUGAGACACGGUCCAGACUCCUACGGGAGGCAGCAGUGGGGAAUAUUGGACAAUGGGCGCAAGCCUGAUCCAGCCAUACCGCGUGGGUGAAGAAGGCCUUCGGGUUGUAAAGCCCUUUUGCUGGGAAAGAAAAGCAGCAGGUGAAUACCCCGCUGUUCUGACGGUACCCAAAGAAUAAGCACCGGCUAACUUCGUG
RNAcentral lists this ribosomal RNA (492 nucleotides) under uncultured bacterium. RNAcentral describes it as "partial 16S ribosomal RNA". It matches the Rfam family "Bacterial small subunit ribosomal RNA", at positions 29 to 507 of the family's 1533-position model. The record is from RNAcentral.